GGCCUUCCAAUGCUUACCACAAGCUGUGUUCUUUACACUGAUUGUAUAGAAAGAGGAGGUACAGUAAAUGCACCCCAUAUACACCUCAGCCCAGGCUUUUUGCCUGAAUAAAAAAAAAAAGUUAGGGGCCAGAA
Molecule: small nucleolar RNA, 134 nt
Organism: Suncus etruscus (white-toothed pygmy shrew)
Lineage: Eukaryota; Metazoa; Chordata; Mammalia; Eulipotyphla; Soricidae
Product: small nucleolar RNA SNORA51
Exons: 1
Source: RefSeq, a predicted model, not a curated record